UGCCCGGUUUGUUUACAUGAUGUGGGCGCAUCUGUCUGCGUCAGACAAAUACCCGGCGCAUUUACUGACGCAAAUGACGUUUAGAAAUGUUCAGCGUAGUGUCCGAAUUCUCGUUUGUUCGUUGAUUAUAUAGUGCACUAUAUCAUGAACACUAUAUAGGGAAUAGUGAGUGAGUGAAUAGGGAAAGAGUUUGGAACACAGCUCUAGUGUUUGACCCUUUUUUAAUAGGUCCAUGGUUUCUGCUCGUCACGUGACGUCUGCUCAAUGUACACAGGUUAUGUAUCGUGACUUUAUAAUUCGGGGAACAUAUCGGUGAUUCAAGACCGCUAAUAAACUCUUUCGUACAGGAUAUGUACAGAUAUCAUUACUGAAGAGAGAAGGAUCUGUAAUUAUGUUUUGGUUUUCGCGGCGCAGGUAAGAGAAGGAAGAUUCUACGCAUGCGCCCAGACAUGGCGGUGUUGUGUGAUAGUGUAUCACAGCACCAUCUAGCCGCCUGACAUGCAUAUACCCAAUCGAAUUCCACACUUUUCCGUCAGAUUUACCCAGAUUUCUUCCCGAAAACGCUCGUCUAAACCUCCUUUAUUAUACGCGACGGCGACGCCACUAUUGCGUCUUCUGUUCAGACCAUCAUGUAAACAAAGAUCAGGAAAAUGUAACGCAAUACUAAACGAAACAUUUAAAGGAAGGAUUAACCAACCCGUCCUCCGUUGCUAAACGCUCUCAUAGCAUAUAUAGAGAAAAGAGGAGAGGACCAAGACAGCUCCACUGGGCCACACCAAAAGGCAAGUCAUGUUUUACAGAUACAUGAUCUCCUAUAGACUAACAUAAAAAUCUCUGCAGUAAUGUAGGUUUGAAACCAAUUUAAACCUUUCCAGAGACCCACUUUGCAAGUCGGUGAAUUAGAAAGUAAUGUUCAAUGGUGUCGAAUGCUGCACUCAAAACAAAGAGAAUAAGGAUUGAGACUUUGUUUAAGUCAUUAGCAAGUCUGAGAUCAUUGACUAUUUUUACAAGGGCCGUUUCUGUGCUGUGAUUUGAUCUGAAACCUGAUUUGAACUUUUCCAAAAUACUAUUUUCGUUGAGGAAGGUAUUUAGCUGAUAACACAACUUUUUCAAGUACUUUGCUCAUGCCAGGUAGGUUUGAUAUAGGCCUGUAGUUACUCAGGAUGGUAUGGUCAAGAUUUUACUUUUUAAGUAAAGGUUUCACAAUAGCGGUUUUAAAAGCAGUCGGAAAUAUACCUGUUUCUAAUGAGGUAUUUGUUAUCUUGAGAAUGAGAUUCAUGAUACUCUAUCAGCAUUAUACACCAUGGUCC
Gadus macrocephalus (Pacific cod) is the source of this 1310-nucleotide long non-coding RNA. RefSeq lists it as uncharacterized. The record is from RefSeq and is a predicted model, not a curated record. Lineage: Eukaryota; Metazoa; Chordata; Actinopteri; Gadiformes; Gadidae. The transcript has 3 exons.